AGUGAACGCUGGCGGUAGGCCUAACACAUGCAAGUCGAACGGCAGCACCGUAAGAGCUUGCUCUCACGGGCGGCGAGUGGCGGACGGGUGAGGAAUACAUCGGAAUCUACUCUUUCGUGGGGGCUAACGUCGGGAAACUUACGCUAAUACCGCAUUCGACCUCCGUGUGAAAGCAGGGGAUCUUUGGACCUUGUGCGAGUGAAUGAGCCGAUGUCGGCUGAGCUCGUUGGCGGGGUAAAGGCCCACAAAGGCGACGAUCCGUAGCUGGUCCGAGGGGAAGGUCAGCCACACGGGAAGAGAGACAGGGUCGAGACACCGAGGGUGGGCAACGGUGGGGAAUAUUGGGCAAUGGGGGCGAGCGUAAUCCAGCCAAACCGGGUGAGGGAAGAAGGCCUUCGGGUUGGAAAGCCCUUUUGUUGGGAGAGAAGAGCAGCUGGUUAAUACCCCGCUGUACUGACGGUACCCAAAGAAUAAGCACCGGCUAACUUCGUG
This 492-nucleotide ribosomal RNA is filed under the name uncultured bacterium. Its description in RNAcentral is "partial 16S ribosomal RNA". It matches the Rfam family "Bacterial small subunit ribosomal RNA", at positions 30 to 507 of the family's 1533-position model. The record is from RNAcentral.